AACGAACGCUGGCGGCAUGCCUAACACAUGCAAGUCGAACGAGACCUUCGGGUCUAGUGGCGCACGGGUGCGUAACGCGUGGGAAUCUACCCUCAGGUUCGGAAUAACUCAGAGAAAUUUGAGCUAAUACCGGAUGAUGACGUAAGUCCAAAGAUUUAUCGCCUGAGGAUGAGCCCGCGUAGGAUUAGGUAGUUGGUGAGGUAAAGGCUCACCAAGCCGACGAUCCUUAGCUGGUCUGAGAGGAUGAUCAGCCACACUGGGACUGAGACACGGCCCAGACUCUUACGGGAAGCAGCAGUGGGGAAUAUUGGACAAUGGGCGAAAGCCUGAUCCAGCAAUGCCGCGUGAGUGAUGAAGGCCUUAGGGUUGUAAAGCUCUUUUACCCGGGAUGAUAAUGACAGUACCGGGAGAAUAAGCUCCGGCUAACUCCGUG
This 433-nucleotide ribosomal RNA is filed under the name uncultured bacterium. RNAcentral describes it as "partial 16S ribosomal RNA". It matches the Rfam family "Bacterial small subunit ribosomal RNA", at positions 29 to 507 of the family's 1533-position model. The record is from RNAcentral.